This 223-nucleotide ribosomal RNA is filed under the name uncultured bacterium. RNAcentral's name for it is "partial 16S ribosomal RNA". It matches the Rfam family "Bacterial small subunit ribosomal RNA", at positions 524 to 744 of the family's 1533-position model. The record is from RNAcentral.
UACGUAGGGUGCAAGCGUUAAUCGGAAUUACUGGGCGUAAAGCGUGCGCAGGCGGUUUUGUAAGUCUGUCGUGAAAUCCCCGGGCUCAACCUGGGAAUUGCGAUGGAGACUGCAAGGCUAGAAUCUGGCAGAGGGGGGUAGAAUUCCACGUGUAGCAGUGAAAUGCGUAGAGAUGUGGAGGAACACCGAUGGCGCAAGGCAGCCCCCUGGGAUCAAGAUUGAC